RNAcentral lists this ribosomal RNA (598 nucleotides) under Etheirodon fimbriatum. Its description in RNAcentral is "eukaryotic LSU rRNA". It matches the Rfam family "Eukaryotic large subunit ribosomal RNA", at positions 66 to 648 of the family's 3401-position model. The record is from RNAcentral. Lineage: Eukaryota; Fungi; Basidiomycota; Agaricomycetes; Polyporales; Steccherinaceae.
UAACAAGGAUUCCCCUAGUAACUGCGAGUGAAGCGGGAAAAGCUCAAAUUUAAAAUCUGGCAGCUUUGGCUGUCCGAGUUGUAGUCUGGAGAAGCGUUUUCUGUGCUGGACCGUGUACAAGUCUCUUGGAACAGAGCGUCAUAGAGGGUGAGAAUCCCGUCUUUGAUACGGACUGCCAGUGCUAUGUGAUGCGCUCUCAAAGAGUCGAGUUGUUUGGGAAUGCAGCUCAAAAUGGGUGGUAAAUUCCAUCUAAAGCUAAAUAUUGGCGAGAGACCGAUAGCGAACAAGUACCGUGAGGGAAAGAUGAAAAGCACUUUGGAAAGAGAGUUAAACAGUACGUGAAAUUGCUGAAAGGGAAACGCUUGAAGUCAGUCGCGUUGACUUGAACUCAGCCUGGCUUUUGCCUGGUGCAUUUUUGAGUCAACGGGCCAGCAUCAAUUUUGACCGCUGGAAAAAGGCCUUGGGAAGGUGGCACCUUCGGGUGUGUUAUAGCCCUUGGUUGCAUACAGUGGUUGGGAUUGAGGAUCUCAGCAUGCCUUUAUGGCCGGGGUUCGCCCACGUUCAUGCUUAGGAUGCUGGCGUAAUGGCUUUAAACGAC